UCCAUUAACUACUGUAAGUCGCUCUGGAUAAGAGCUUCUGCUAAAUGAAUAAAA
Non-coding RNA from Salmo salar (Atlantic salmon), 54 nucleotides. The record is from Rfam. NCBI's taxonomy places the organism in Eukaryota, Metazoa, Chordata, Actinopteri, Salmoniformes, Salmonidae.